Molecule: ribosomal RNA, 119 nt
Organism: Ochotona princeps (American pika)
Lineage: Eukaryota; Metazoa; Chordata; Mammalia; Lagomorpha; Ochotonidae
Source: Ensembl
GUCUACGGCCAUACCACUCUGAACGUGCCCGAUCUCGUCUGAUCUCGGAAGCUAAGCAGGGUUGGGCCUGGUUAGUACUUGGAUGGGAGAAAUGAAGACAGAAAAUAUACUUGUAGCGC